This 245-nucleotide ribosomal RNA is filed under the name uncultured bacterium. Its description in RNAcentral is "partial 16S ribosomal RNA". It matches the Rfam family "Bacterial small subunit ribosomal RNA", at positions 88 to 334 of the family's 1533-position model. The record is from RNAcentral.
AUGGCGACCGGCGCACGGGUGAGUAACACGUAUCCAACCUGCCGAUAACUCAGGGAUAGCCUUUCGAAAGAAAGAUUAAUACCCGAUGGCAUAAUUAGACCGCAUGGUCUUAUUAUUAAAGAAUUUCGGUUAUCGAUGGGGAUGCGUUCCAUUAGGCAGUUGGUGAGGUAACGGCUCACCAAACCUUAGAUGGAUAGGGGUUCUGAGAGGAAGGUCCCCCACAUUGGAACUGAGACACGGUCCAA